UUUGAUCCUGGCUCAGUUGAACGCUGGCGGGAUGCUUUACAUGCAAGUCAGGCAGCGCUGGACUUCGGUCUGGUGGCAGUGGCGAACGGUGAAAUGACCAGCGUCGGAACGUGCCUAGUAGCGGGGGAUAACUACGCGAAAGCGUAGCUAAUACCGCAUACGCCCUUCGAGGCAGGGGACCUUCGGGCCACUCGCACUAUUCGAGCAACCCGAUAUCGGAUUAGCUAGUUGGUGGGGUAACGGCUCACCAAAGGCGACGAUCCGUAGCUGGUUUGAGAGGACGACCAGCCUGGGACUGAGACACGGCCCAGACUCCUACGGGAGGCAGCCCAGUGGGAAUUUUGGACAAUCAGGAAACCUGAUCCAGCCAUCCGCGUGUUAGGUCGAAGGCGCUUCGGGUUAUAGCUUUCUUUUGGCGGGAAAGAAACGGCACGGGAUAAUACCCCGUGCAACUGACAUUACCUGCAGAAUAAGCACCGGCUAACUACGUGCCAGCAGCCGCGGUAAUACGAGGUGCAAGCGUUAAUCGGAAUUACUGGGCGUAAAGCGUGCGCAGGCGGUUCGGAAAGAGAAAGAUGUGAAAUCCCGAAGCUUAACUUUGGAACUGCAUUUUUAACUACCGAGCUAGAGUGUGUGUCCAGAGGUGGAAUUCCCGCGUCUUAACGGUGAAAUGCGUAGAUAUGCGGAGGAACACCGAUGGCGAAGAGCGGCCUCCUCAGGAUAACACUGACGCUCAUGCACGAAGCGUGGGAGCAAACAGGAUUAGAUACCCUGGUAGUCCACGCCCUAAACGAUGUCAACUAGCUGUUGGGGCCUUCGGGCCUUGGUAGCGCAACUAACGCGUGAAGUUGACCGCCUGGGAAGUACGGUCGCAAGAUUAAAACUCAAAGGAAUUGACGGGGACCCGCACAAGCGGUGGAUGAUGUGGAUUAAUUGAUGCAACGCGAAAAACCUUACCUACCCUUGACAUAUCUGGAAUCCGAAGAGAUUUACAGGUGCUCGCAAGAGAACCGGAACUUCAGGUGCUGCAUGGCUGUCGUCAGCUCGUGUCGUGAGAUGUUGGGUUAAGUCCUGGCAGGCGCAGCCCUUCAUCAUUAGUCGCUACGAAAGGGCACCCUAAUGAGACUGCCGGUGACAAACCGGAGGAAGGUGGGGAUGACGUCAGUCCUCAUGGCCCUUAUGGUGAACUACACGUCAUACAAUGGUCGGGACAGAGGGUCGCCAACCCGCGAGGGGGCAAUCCCGAAACUUGAUCGUAGUCGGAUCGCAGUCUGCAACUCGACUGCGUGAAGUCGGGAUCGCUGGCUUAAUCGCGGAUCAGCAUGUCGCGGUGAAUACGUUCCCGGGUCUUAUGCAGCACCGCCCGUCACACCAUGGGAGUGGGUUUUACCAGAAGUAGUUAGCCUAACCGUAAGGGCGAUUACCACGGUAAGUUCAUGGCUGGGGUGGUCAGUAACAAAGUAAGGACACACCGUGCACCUGGUGCUCCAG
This 1491-nucleotide ribosomal RNA is filed under the name uncultured Bordetella sp. Its description in RNAcentral is "partial 16S-23S ribosomal RNA intergenic spacer". It matches the Rfam family "Bacterial small subunit ribosomal RNA". The record is from RNAcentral. Lineage: Bacteria; Pseudomonadati; Pseudomonadota; Betaproteobacteria; Burkholderiales; Alcaligenaceae.